GGAGUUAGGAAAUGUAAGUUCGCUAAUACCGGAUUUACUUGACAAAGGCUCCAGAGGAAGCCACGGCUAACUCUGUGCCAGCAGCCGCGGUAAUACAGAGGUGGCAAGCGUUGUUCGGAAUUAUUGGGCGUAAAGAGCACGUAGGUGGAUUUGUAAGUCAGAUGUGAAAGCCUUUUGUUCAACGGAAGAAUUGCAUCUGAAACUGCAAACCUUGAGUGUAGGAGGGGAGAGUGGAACUUCUGGU
Molecule: ribosomal RNA, 244 nt
Filed under: uncultured anaerobic ammonium-oxidizing bacterium
Lineage: Bacteria
Description: partial 16S ribosomal RNA
Rfam family: Bacterial small subunit ribosomal RNA
Source: RNAcentral